Molecule: transfer RNA, 74 nt
Filed under: Alosa alosa (allis shad)
Lineage: Eukaryota; Metazoa; Chordata; Actinopteri; Clupeiformes; Clupeidae
Description: tRNA-Phe
Rfam family: tRNA
About the family: Transfer RNA (tRNA) molecules are approximately 80 nucleotides in length. Their secondary structure includes four short double-helical elements and three loops (D, anti-codon, and T loops). Further hydrogen bonds mediate the characteristic L-shaped molecular structure. tRNAs have two regions of fundamental functional importance: the anti-codon, which is responsible for specific mRNA codon recognition, and the 3' end, to which the tRNAs corresponding amino acid is attached (by aminoacyl-tRNA synthetases). tRNAs cope with the degeneracy of the genetic code in two manners: having more than one tRNA (with a specific anti-codon) for a particular amino acid; and 'wobble' base-pairing, i.e. permitting non-standard base-pairing at the 3rd anti-codon position.
Source: RNAcentral
GCCAGAAAUAGCUCAGUUGGGAGGCGUUAGAUUGAAAAUCUAAAGAUCCCUGGUUCGAAUCGAGGGUUCCGGCA